Molecule: ribosomal RNA, 495 nt
Filed under: uncultured bacterium
Lineage: Bacteria
Description: partial 16S ribosomal RNA
Rfam family: Bacterial small subunit ribosomal RNA
Source: RNAcentral
GACGAACGCUGGCGGCGUGCCUAAUACAUGCAAGUAGAACGCUGAAGGAGGGGCUUGCUUCUCUGGAUGAGUUGCGAACGGGUGAGUAACGCGUAGGUAACCUGCCUGGUAGCGGGGGAUAACUAUUGGAAACGAUAGCUAAUACCGCAUAACAGUAGAUAUCGCAUGAUAUCUACUUGAAAGGUGCAAUUGCAUCACUACCAGAUGGACCUGCGUUGUAUUAGCUAGUUGGUGAGGUAACGGCUCACCAAGGCGACGAUACAUAGCCGACCUGAGAGGGUGAUCGGCCACACUGGGACUGAGACACGGCCCAGACUCCUACGGGAGGCAGCAGUAGGGAAUCUUCGGCAAUGGACGGAAGUCUGACCGAGCAACGCCGCGGGAGUGAAGAAGGUUUUCGGAUCGUAAAGCUCUGUUGUAAGAGAAGAACGAGUGUGAGAGUGGAAAGUUCACACUGUGACGGUAUCUUACCAGAAAGAGACGGCUAACUACGUG